UGUGGGGUAUAGCAGUGGCAGCUAACGAGCCUCAUAAGCUCGAGGUCGGUGGUUCGAAUCCAUCCCCCGCAACCG
Molecule: transfer RNA, 75 nt
Filed under: bacterium J10(2018)
Lineage: Bacteria
Also listed under: 1 other name
Description: tRNA-Met
Rfam family: tRNA
About the family: Transfer RNA (tRNA) molecules are approximately 80 nucleotides in length.
Source: RNAcentral